This 253-nucleotide unclassified non-coding RNA is filed under the name uncultured Flavobacteriaceae bacterium. RNAcentral's name for it is "contains 16S-23S intergenic spacer region". It matches the Rfam family "Bacterial small subunit ribosomal RNA", at positions 524 to 776 of the family's 1533-position model. The record is from RNAcentral. Lineage: Bacteria; Pseudomonadati; Bacteroidota; Flavobacteriia; Flavobacteriales; Flavobacteriaceae.
UACGGAGGAUCCAAGCGUUAUCCGGAAUCAUUGGGCUUAAAGGGCCCGUAGGCGGGUUAAUAAGUCAGUGGUGAAAGGCUGCAGCUUAACUGUAGAAUUGCCAUUGAUACUGGUAACCUUGAGUGAUUAUGACGUGGUUAGAAUAUGUAGUGUAGCGGUGAAAUGCAUAGAUAUUACAUAGAAUAGCGAUUGCGAAGGCAGAUCACUAAUAAUUCACUGACGCUGAGGGACGAAAGCGUAGGUAGCGAACAGG